GAUGAAGGAACGUAGCGAAAUGCGAUAAGUAAUGUGAAUUGCAGAAUUCAGUGAAUCAUCGAAUCUUUGAACGCACAUUGCGCCCGCCAGUAUUCUGGCGGGCAUGCCUGUUCGAGCGUCAUUUCAACCCUCAAGCCCCCGGGCUUGGUGUUGGGGAUCGGCGUGCCCUCGCGGCGCGCCGUCCCCUAAAUCUAGUGGCGGUCUCGCUGUAGCUUCCUCUGCGUAGUAGCAACACUCGCACUGGAUCGCAGCGCGGCCACGCCGUUAAACCCCCCACUUCUGAAAGUUUGACCUCGGAUCAGGUAGGAAUACCCGCUGAACUUAAGCAUAUCAAUAAGCGGAGGA
RNAcentral lists this unclassified non-coding RNA (345 nucleotides) under soil metagenome. RNAcentral's name for it is "partial contains 5.8S ribosomal RNA, internal transcribed spacer 2, and large subunit ribosomal RNA". The stretch from base 1 to 121 matches the Rfam family "5.8S ribosomal RNA", at positions 35 to 154 of the family's 154-position model. The record is from RNAcentral.